AACGAACGCUGGCGGCAUGCCUAACACAUGCAAGUCGAACGAGACCUUCGGGCCUAGUGGCGCACGGGUGCGUAACGCGUGGGAACCUGCCCUUAGGUUCGGAAUAACUCCCCGAAAGGGGUGCUAAUACCGGAUAAUGUCUUCGGACCAAAGAUUUAUCGCUUUUGGAUGGGCCCGCGUUGGUUUAGCUAGUUGGUAGGGUAAAAGCCUACCAAGGCGACGAUCCAUAGCUGGUCUGAGAGGAUGAUCAGCCACACUGGGACUGAGACACGGCCCAGACUCCUACGGGAGGCAGCAGUGGGGAAUAUUGGACAAUGGGCGAAAGCCUGGUCCAGCAAUGCCGCGUGAGUGAUGAAGGCCUUAGGGUUGUAAAGCUCUUUUACCCGGGAUGAUAAUGACAGUACCGGGAGAAUAAGCUCCGGCUAACUCCGUG
Molecule: ribosomal RNA, 433 nt
Filed under: uncultured bacterium
Lineage: Bacteria
Description: partial 16S ribosomal RNA
Rfam family: Bacterial small subunit ribosomal RNA
Source: RNAcentral